Molecule: small RNA, 2167 nt
Filed under: Rattus norvegicus (Norway rat)
Lineage: Eukaryota; Metazoa; Chordata; Mammalia; Rodentia; Muridae
Description: uncharacterized LOC102548093
Source: RNAcentral
ACUGACCUUAUCUCUUCAGAUUCUUUAGGUUGGGAUCCACUAAGAACAAACGCCAAGCACUGACCAACACUUUACCGGGAGUUAGGAGAUGCUCGGUAUAAUAGAGAAUGAACCCACCUUAUUAAGUGGUCCUCUAGACAGGCUCCUCUUUUCUCCCCAGCAGGAAAGCAAAGGCCCAUGGGGAGGCUGGCUAGUUGUGAAAUGACAUACAUUUCAAAAUUGUUUUCCAGAUAUCCCUCAACAACUUCUUUCUCUCCUGAAGUGUGAAAUUUAAUUACCCAUGUUAGACAUGCAUUCGUGAUCACAUAUUUUUAUUGCCUAAAACUCUUCAGUCUUUUAAAAUGUAAGGACAGAAUCCCAGUUACAGAAAAAUCUUUGACAUCGGAGAUUUGUACAAGAAAUGAUUUACUGGAGGAGCUGCUAGACAUGUAAUGCCCCGGAGUGACAUAUCUACAAGCAAGGGGGACGCAGCUCUGAGCAGAAGGCCUCAGAACAGAGCAAACAAACAGGAGAUGUUUCCUGAUGCCCUGUACAAGAAGAUGUAAGACAGGAACAUAAAGGAGCACACAAUCCAAGAGGGACUGAAUACCGACAGAAGAGACUGCUUUUCUUCUACUGUGGAAUAUUAACAUUUGUCAUAAGAACAAUGCUACCAAAAAACAAAAGAUCAAGGGCGAAUUAAUUUCCACAGGUUUGGGAUAGCCAGAUAAUUCUUGAUUGGUGGGAGUAGGCAUAUGAAGAAAUUUCUAGCCUCUGGUGUCUAUAAACACAGUAGACAUUAGAUUCUUUAAUUAACAUGGAUUAGAACAAUACGUAAACUUUUGUAAGCAAGGAAAUUGAUUCAAAUUGAAGUACCUGGCUUUGGGGAAAGAAGUGUGCCGACUAGGUCUUUAUGACUGCAGAACAGGAAAUGAAGAAGAGAAAAAUGAAAGUCAAAUCAAGGACAACAUAGGACAAGUUUUCUGAGCUAUGAGGACAAGGGGGCCUUUAUUUUUAGUCAUGACCUGGAGCAUUAGUAAAAUGUACAUUGUUUGUAAACAACUCAUUUAUGUCAUGCUCAAAAGAACUUCCUUUGAAGGAAUAAUUGAUUACACUAUAAAAACGGUCUGAUUGCCAAGUCUGCCAACAGACUUCCUGGGUGCCCCUUUUGCCUCAUGACACCAUGGACAUCACUGCUUUGGAAUGUGUGGGUUGUUGAUGCACUGCCCCACAUAGUGGUCAUUAAACUGUCUUCAUCUCUUCAUAACUCUAAGAGAACUUCUAGGUGGGCUAUCAGACUAACCAAGCAUAGGUCACAUGUCCACCCCUAGUUUUCUAGAACAUAUAUCCAGCCUUCUGUAUACCAACUACAGGUGUCUCCAAAUAAGAAAGGGAAUUCAUUAGGUGAUCAAGUAAAUUCAACAAACGUUCAUUGCAGUAUUACAGAUAACACCAUAGACUGGUGGCAGGUCGAAAGAGUAGAGGCAAUUUCUAAGGAAGAAUGCUCAAUGUCUCUAUGAGGGGAGGAAAGAAUGUAAGGGAGGGAGAGACGGAGAGAGCGAUAAGCAUGAGCAUUAUUGUCAGGAAAUCACUUAUACAUUUCAUUUGCAUGUGUACUCAGAGUGUAUAAAUGCAUAUUCAAAUUACAUGUCAUAUGUAAAUAGGCAGCUGUAACUUUUGUUAUAAAAAUUUGUAUUUAAAGAAUUUUGGUAGCUUAUUUGGUGGCAGUUAUUAACUCUUUGUAGUCAACAUGGAGCCAAAUAAUUUAAUUCUUUUCUGCGUGACUAGGUCUGAGGUUUCAAUGAGAAUAAUAUGUUAUAUAAUGUACAUAAGCAGGAUCAAAAGAGUUUAUGUACAACCCUAAUGUGUCUUUAGACUAUUCUACACAGAAAGUACCAAGGAUACAAUAAAAUAAUGCUCAAAGCAGAGUCCACAAUCUCUAUUAGCAUUGACAUGGUCAUUUUAGCACAGCUAAGCAGCUUUGUGGCUAUAAAUUUGAAUCUUAGAGAGACAAGCAAAGCGUUGUUACUACUUUCUAAUUUGAACAGAAUGUGAAGUUGAUGGCAAGUGAAAACUCACAAAUACGCCUGGAAAAUUUAUAACAUGAAACAUUUCAGCCAUUGCCAAUAUUUAAAGGUUAUGUCCAUCAUGUUGGGAAGAGGCAAAAGUUUUCACCCUUUCCAAAUAA